GAUGAACGCUGGCGGCGUGCCUAAUACAUGCAAGUCGAGCGAACAGACGAGGAGCUUGCUCCUCUGACGUUAGCGGCGGACGGGUGAGUAACACGUGGAUAACCUACCUAUAAGACUGGGAUAACUUCGGGAAACCGGAGCUAAUACCGGAUAAUAUAUUGAACCGCAUGGUUCAGUAGUGAAAGACGGUUUUGCUGUCACUUAUAGAUGGAUCCGCGCCGCAUUAGCUAGUUGGUAAGGUAACGGCUUACCAAGGCAACGAUGCGUAGCCGACCUGAGAGGGUGAUCGGCCACACUGGAACUGAGACACGGUCCAGACUCCUACGGGAGGCAGCAGCAGGGAAUCUUCCGCAAUGGGCGAAAGCCUGACGGAGCAACGCCGCGUGAGUGAUGGAGGUCUUCGGAUCGUAAAACUCUGUUAUUAGGGAAGAACAAAUGUGUAAGUAACUAUGCACGUCUUGACGGUACCUAAUCAGAAAGCCACGGCUAACUACGUG
RNAcentral lists this ribosomal RNA (497 nucleotides) under uncultured bacterium. Its description in RNAcentral is "partial 16S ribosomal RNA". It matches the Rfam family "Bacterial small subunit ribosomal RNA", at positions 28 to 507 of the family's 1533-position model. The record is from RNAcentral.